Molecule: ribosomal RNA, 493 nt
Filed under: uncultured bacterium
Lineage: Bacteria
Description: partial 16S ribosomal RNA
Rfam family: Bacterial small subunit ribosomal RNA
Source: RNAcentral
GACGAACGCUGGCGGCGUGCUUAACACAUGCAAGUCGAACGGAAAGGCCUGCUUUCCCUUGUGGAUUGCGGGUACUCGAGUGGCGAACGGGUGAGUAACACGUGAGUGAUCUGCCCCCAACUUGGGUAUAAGCCUGGGAAACUGGGUCUAAUUCCCGAUAGGACUGCAGGGUGGUGCCUGUGGUGGAAAACGAUUUUCUAGUGGUUGGGGAUGAGCUCGCGGCCUAUCAGCUUGUUGGUGGGGUAAUGGCCUACCAAGGCGGCGACGGGUAGCCGGCCUGGGAGGGUGGACGGCCACAUUGGGACUGAAAUACGGCCCAGACUCCUACGGGAGGCAGCAGUGGGGAAUAUUGCACAAUGGGCGGAAGCCUGAUGCAGCGACGCCGCGUGGGGGAUGACGGCCUUCGGGUUGUAAACUCCUUUCGACCGCGAGGAAGCCACCUGGUUGGAAGGGUGGUGACGGUAGUGGUAGAAGAAGCACCGGCUAACUACGU